UUUACAACAGGAGUAUAGCUUACCUGGCUGGCAUGUAAAUGAACCACCGGAGAAGCUUCUCCAUUCGCUAUUUAACCCAGAUGCUGCGCCCGUGCUUCCUGAGGGUGGCACCUCCGUGUGUUCAGCUGGUUCAGCAGCUGUCUGGAUGGUGAGGAGGUAGCACCUACCUGCCCGGCAUCUGUGAGAGGGCCAAACUACUGGUGCUGGUAUGCUUUCAUAAUCAUCAUCAUUGUUUAUUCUCAUACACUGUGUCCAUCUUUGCCUCAUGAUGACAAGGGAAGGAAAUAUACGGAGCCAUAUAUAUCGCUCUGAAAAUGUGUAGAAU
This 325-nucleotide long non-coding RNA is filed under the name Oncorhynchus mykiss (rainbow trout). RNAcentral describes it as "lncRNA (ENSOMYG00000057440.1)". Lineage: Eukaryota; Metazoa; Chordata; Actinopteri; Salmoniformes; Salmonidae. The record is from RNAcentral.